CCUACGGGUGGCAGCAGUGGGGAAUAUUGGACAAUGGGGGAAACCCUGAUCCAGCGACGCCGCGUGAGUGAAGAAGGACUUCGGUACGUAAAGCCCUAUCUGUAGGAAAGUAAAUGACUGUACCUGACUAUGAAGCCCCGGCUAACUACGUGCCAGACGCCGAGGUAAUACGUAGGGGGCAAGCGUUAUCCGGAUUUACUGGGCGUAAAGGGAGCGUAGACGGCAGAACAAGUCUGGAGUGAAAUCCUGGGGCUUAACCCCGGGAUUGCGGUGGAAACUGUGCGGCUGGAGUGCAGGCGGGGUAAGCGGAAUUCGUGGUGUAGCGGUGAAAUGCGUAGAUAUUAGGAGGAACACCGGUGGCGAAGGCGGCUUGCUGGACUGUAACUGACGUUGAGGCUCGAAAGCGUGGGGAGCAAACAGGAUUAGAUACCCUAGUAGUC
This 440-nucleotide ribosomal RNA is filed under the name uncultured bacterium. Its description in RNAcentral is "partial 16S ribosomal RNA". It matches the Rfam family "Bacterial small subunit ribosomal RNA", at positions 338 to 795 of the family's 1533-position model. The record is from RNAcentral.